This 72-nucleotide transfer RNA is filed under the name Cavia porcellus (domestic guinea pig). It matches the Rfam family "tRNA". From Rfam's summary of the family: Transfer RNA (tRNA) molecules are approximately 80 nucleotides in length. Their secondary structure includes four short double-helical elements and three loops (D, anti-codon, and T loops). The record is from Rfam by way of RNAcentral. Lineage: Eukaryota; Metazoa; Chordata; Mammalia; Rodentia; Caviidae.
AGGUAUAUAGUUCAGUGGCAUAGCAUCUGCCUGGCAAGCACAAGGCCCUGAGGUCAAUUCCCAGUAUCCCCA